Molecule: long non-coding RNA, 744 nt
Organism: Phyllostomus discolor (pale spear-nosed bat)
Lineage: Eukaryota; Metazoa; Chordata; Mammalia; Chiroptera; Phyllostomidae
Exons: 4
Source: RefSeq, a predicted model, not a curated record
CUGUCUGGAACGCAAACUAAGUGGCAGCAGCCCCUACAAUAAAGUUCUCACUGCCACCUUUUAAAGCCAGCACACCAAGUGCAAGCCUGUCAGCAACCUAGGCUGUAUUUAGGAGGGGUGGGGCUCUGCUGGAGGAGUCUGAUGUUCCCCUAAGUCUCGCCAUGCUCAACUGCAGAGGUGUCCCUCCAGCACCCCGGAAGGCAGCUCAAAUAGACAGAGGGGCUGUCAGCGUGACCUCAAUCCCUGGACUGAUCCUAAAGGGAGCAGCUCUCAGUUUUUGCCUUCAUCGCAGUCCCCUCAAGGCCAGAUGCAUCUUGAGAUUCAGAAAGUGAAACUGGAACCCUGGAGCCUCAGCUCUCACCGUCUGUCCAGAUCACCUUCUGUGACCCUCACAACCGGCUCCCAGGGGGCAAAGCUAGCUGACUGAAUAGGAGAGCCCAGAGUGAGGGAUGGAGAUUGAGCAUUUUGCUCUUCAUGUCUGACAUCCUUAUCCACCCCCAAACCUUCCACAUGGAAUAACCCUCCACAAAGCAGCUGUUCCCACUGCCCCAUCCACACAAUCCCUGGAGUGGCAUAAGACAGGGUAUAUAGCUUUCACCAGACUCUUGAGGAUGCUUGUGACUACAAGAAGGUAAAGAAUCAUAGUUACCAAGGUUCUCAUUUCUCCAAACAUGGCUGUCACAAGGAUUCCCCAGUGGUUAGGGAGAAACAACUACCCUCAGUCCAUUAUAAACUCUCACCAAG